AACGAACGCUGGCGGCAUGCCUAACACAUGCAAGUCGAACGAGACCUUCGGGUCUAGUGGCGCACGGGUGCGUAACGCGUGGGAACCUGCCCUUAGGUUCGGAAUAACUCCCCGAAAGGGGUGCUAAUACCGGAUAAUGUCUUCGGACCAAAGAUUUAUCGCCUUUGGAUGGGCCCGCGUUGGAUUAGCUAGUUGGUAGGGUAAAAGCCUACCAAGGCGACGAUCCAUAGCUGGUCUGAGAGGAUGAUCAGCCACACUGGGACUGAGACACGGCCCAGACUCCUCGGGGAGGGAGCGGUGGGGAAUAUUGGCCAGGGGGCGAAACCCUGACCCAGCAUCCCCGCGUGAGUGGUGAAGCCUUUGGGGUUGAAAAGCUCUUUCACCCGGGAUGAUAAUGACAGCCCGGGGAAAAAACGCCCCGCCUACCCCCGUC
This 433-nucleotide ribosomal RNA is filed under the name uncultured bacterium. Its description in RNAcentral is "partial 16S ribosomal RNA". It matches the Rfam family "Bacterial small subunit ribosomal RNA", at positions 29 to 507 of the family's 1533-position model. The record is from RNAcentral.